RNAcentral lists this ribosomal RNA (495 nucleotides) under uncultured bacterium. RNAcentral's name for it is "partial 16S ribosomal RNA". It matches the Rfam family "Bacterial small subunit ribosomal RNA", at positions 28 to 507 of the family's 1533-position model. The record is from RNAcentral.
GACGAACGCUGGCGGCGUGCCUAAUACAUGCAAGUAGAACGCUGAAGGAGGAGCUUGCUUCUCUGGAUGAGUUGCGAACGGGUGAGUAACGCGUAGGUAACCUGCCUGGUAGCGGGGGAUAACUAUUGGAAACGAUAGCUAAUACCGCAUAAGAGUAGAUGUCGCAUGACAUUUGCUUAAAAGGUGCAAUUGCAUCACUACCAGAUGGACCUGCGUUGUAUUAGCUAGUUGGUGAGGUAACGGCUCACCAAGGCAACGAUACAUAGCCGACCUGGGAGGGUGAUCGGCCACACUGGGACUGAGACACGGCCCAGACUCCUACGGGAGGCAGCAGUAGGGAAUCUUCGGCAAUGGACGGAAGUCUGACCGAGCAACGCCGCGUGAGUGAAGAAGGUUUUCGGAUCGUAAAGCUCUGUUGUAAGAGAAGAACGAGUGUGAGAGUGGAAAGUUCACACUGUGACGGUAUCUUACCAGAAAGGGACGGCUAACUACGUG